GACGAACGCUGGCGGCGUGCUUAACACAUGCCAGUCGAACGGAAAGGCCCUGCUUUUGUGGGGUGCUCGAGUGGCGAACGGGUGAGUAACACGUGAGUAACCUGCCACUGACUUUGGGAUAACUUCAGGCAACUGGGGCUAAUACCGGAUAGGAGUUCCUGCUGCAUGGUGGGGGUUGGAAAGUUUAGGUGGUUGGGGAUGGACCCGCGGCUUAUCAGCUUGGUGGGGGGGUAGUGUCUUACCAAGGCUUUGACCGGUAGCCGGCCUGGGCGGGUGACCGGCCACAUUGGGACUGAGAUACGGCCCAGACUCCUACGGGAGGCAGCAGUGGGGAAUAUUGCACAAUGGGCGGAAGCCUGAUGCAGCAACGCCGCGUGCGGUAUGACGUCAUUCGGGUUGUAAACCGCUUUCGCCUGUGACGAAGCGUGAGUGACGGUAAUGGGUAAAGAAGCACCGGCUAACUACGUG
RNAcentral lists this ribosomal RNA (468 nucleotides) under uncultured bacterium. RNAcentral describes it as "partial 16S ribosomal RNA". It matches the Rfam family "Bacterial small subunit ribosomal RNA", at positions 28 to 507 of the family's 1533-position model. The record is from RNAcentral.